GUGCCCGUAGCUCAGCUGGAUAGAGCGUCUGACUACGGAUCAGAAGGCCAGGGGUUCGAAUCCCUUCGGGCACA
The sequence is a transfer RNA, 74 nucleotides long. It matches the Rfam family "tRNA". From Rfam's summary of the family: Transfer RNA (tRNA) molecules are approximately 80 nucleotides in length. Their secondary structure includes four short double-helical elements and three loops (D, anti-codon, and T loops). The record is from Rfam.